GUAAGGAAUAUUGCGCAAUGGAGGCAACUCUGACGCAGCCAUGCCGCGUGCAGGAAGAAGGCGCUACGCGUUGUAAACUGCUUUUAACCGGGAAGAAACCCCAGGACGUGUCCUGGGUUGACGGUACCGGAGGAAUAAGCACCGGCUAACUUCGUGCCAGCAGCCGCGGUAAUACGAAGGGUGCAAGCGUUAUCCGGAUUCAUUGGGUUUAAAGGGUGCGUAGGCGGAGCGUUAAGUCAGUGGUGAAAUCCUGCAGCUUAACUGUAGACUUGCCAUUGAUACUGGCGCUCUUGAGUGCGCUUGAAGUGGGCGGAAUGUGCCGUGUAGCAGUGAAAUGCUUAGAUAUGGCACAGAACACCAAUUGCGAAGGCAGCUCACUAAGGCGAUACUGACGCUGAGGCACGAAAGCGUGGGGAUCGAACAGGAUUAGAAACCCCUGUAGUCC
Molecule: ribosomal RNA, 445 nt
Filed under: uncultured bacterium
Lineage: Bacteria
Description: partial 16S ribosomal RNA
Rfam family: Bacterial small subunit ribosomal RNA
Source: RNAcentral